AAUUUUGGACAAUGGUGGUAACCCUGAUACAGCCAUCCCGCGAGUAUGAUGAAGGCAUUCGGGUUGAAAAGUACUCUUGGCAGAGAAGAAAAGGUAUCCCCUAAUACGGGAUACUGCUGACGGUCUCUGCAGAAUAAGCACCGGCUAACUACGUGUCAGCAGCCGAGGUAAUACGUAGGGUGCAAGCGUUAAACGGAAUUACUGGGCGUAAAGCAUUUGUAGGCGGUUCGGAAAGAAAGAGGUGAAAUCCCAGGGCUCAACCUUGGAACUGCAUUUUUAACUGCCGAGCUAGAGUAUGUCAGAGGGGGGUAGAAUUCCGCGUGUAGCAGUGAAAUGCGUAGAUAUGUGGAGGAAUACCGAUGGCGAAGGCAGCCCCCUGGGAUAAUACUGACGCGCAGACACGAAAGCGUGGGGAGCAAACAGG
RNAcentral lists this ribosomal RNA (424 nucleotides) under uncultured bacterium. RNAcentral's name for it is "partial 16S ribosomal RNA". It matches the Rfam family "Bacterial small subunit ribosomal RNA", at positions 360 to 776 of the family's 1533-position model. The record is from RNAcentral.